Long non-coding RNA from Cyprinus carpio carpio, 1027 nucleotides. The record is from Ensembl. NCBI's taxonomy places the organism in Eukaryota, Metazoa, Chordata, Actinopteri, Cypriniformes, Cyprinidae.
GCAGAGGCUAGUAGAUUUUCCUCAAGAAUUUGACGGUAUUUUGCCUCAUCUAUUUUUCCUUCUAUCCUGACAAGUGCUCCAGUCCCUGCUGCAGAGAAACACCCUCAUAACAGGAUAUUACCACCUCUGUGUUUUACUGUAAUGCUGUUUUUUGGAUGUUGAACUGUAUUGUAUUUCCACCAGACAUAUUGUUUGGUGUUAAGGCCAAAUAAUUAAAUUUUAGUUGCAUCUGCCUCAGAAUCUUCAAGGUAUGUUUUGGCAAAGCUCAGUCAUGACUGCAUGUGGCCUUUCUUGAGAAGUGGCUUUUUUAUUGCAACCCUCCCAUACAAGCCACAUUUAUGGAGAAUUUGUGAUAUUGUUGUCACAUGCACACAAUGACCACUCUUUGUCAUAAAUUCCCACAGCUGCUUCAGAGUUGCUAAAGGCCUCUUGGUAGCCUAUUUGACCAGUUUCCUCCUGGCUCUUUCAUCCAGUUUGGAGGGACAUCCUGAUCCAGGGAGGGUUUGCAUUGUACCAAAUACCUUCCACUUCUUAAUAAUAGACUUCACUGUGCUUCUAGGCAUUGAUAAACCUUUGAAUUUUUUUUUUUGCAUCCAUCUCCUGACUUGUGCCUGUCCACAACUUAUCCCAGAGAUCUUUUGACAGUGCCUUGCCACCCAUAGUUUAGCACUUUUCAUGUUGAGUCAAAAAUGAUACAGCUGAUCACAGUUGAAAGUCAAAUGGCUUUGUGUGCCAUUGAGAAGGUGAUUAGCUACAUCUGAUUGAGUUUACAAGUCAUUUUUAGGAGGGGGGUGAUUCUUUUUCCAACUCAGUGAUUCUAGUUUUUUAUUUAUUUAUUUUUCUGACAUAUUGGUGUUAUACCUUUCACUUGGAUGGUUGAAAGUUGCACUGAGUAAAUACAGCUGGAUAAAACAAAAACUGUGUCCAUCUUCAUUUCAGGCUGUAAAGCAACAAAAUGUGAUUAUUUAAAAGGGGGGAUUCUUUUCUAUACCCACUGUAUAUACACUGAAUAAAAUUAUAAAUGCAA